Molecule: ribosomal RNA, 378 nt
Filed under: Triticum aestivum (bread wheat)
Lineage: Eukaryota; Viridiplantae; Streptophyta; Magnoliopsida; Poales; Poaceae
Description: partial small subunit ribosomal RNA
Source: RNAcentral
AUGCAGUCCUAUAAAGAGCCAAAUCUCUGGGUACAUUCCAGUCCUGUAAGUCUCUUUUUACGGCCUCCUCCCGUGCCAAUUCUGGUCGCCCUCCUACCGCUCCUAGUAUUUUCGCUACUCUUUAGAAUACCGCUAUUCACUGGUGCUUCUGCAGGUCUCCGUUGGAUAUGUCCAAACCAUCUUAGUCGCUGUUGGACAAGCUUCUCUUCAAUUGGUGCCACCCCUGCCUUAUCACGUAUUCCCUCGUUCCUAAUCUGGCCCUUUAUUGUAUGGCCACACAUCCACCUUAGCAUGCGCAUCUCAGUGACACUCAUUUGUUGGAUGUGUUGUCUCUUAGUAGGCCAACACUCUGCUCCAUAUAAGACAGCCGUCCUAUAG